UCGUGCUAGCCGGGGAACUAGCGGUGCCCUGCACCCACAAUCCGCUUUAGUGGGGGUGAAUUCCCGCCCGAGGUUUCGUCAUUUGGGGUCUGACCCCCGUAAGCGGUGUUGAAGGUUGGGUCCCACGCAAGGGGACAUUGCUGAACCCCGUCAGGUCCGGAAGGAAGCAGCGGUAGGCAACCCGUCCCUUGUGCCGUGGACCACCUGGCCGGAGCUAGCUGCGAGGGUAACGCCUGGGUGGGGCUAUCGACGGCGGGUGCACGA
This 264-nucleotide signal recognition particle RNA is filed under the name Acidobacteriota bacterium. Its description in RNAcentral is "signal recognition particle sRNA large type". It matches the Rfam family "Bacterial large signal recognition particle RNA". From Rfam's summary of the family: The signal recognition particle (SRP) is a universally conserved ribonucleoprotein involved in the co-translational targeting of proteins to membranes. Archaeal SRP consists of a 7S RNA and homologues of the eukaryotic SRP19 and SRP54 proteins. In most bacteria, the SRP consists of a 4.5S RNA and the Ffh protein (a homologue of the eukaryotic SRP54 protein). The record is from RNAcentral. RNAcentral also lists the same sequence under 1 other name. Lineage: Bacteria; Pseudomonadati; Acidobacteriota.